Drosophila mauritiana is the source of this 1700-nucleotide long non-coding RNA. RefSeq lists it as uncharacterized. The transcript is spliced from 4 exons. NCBI's taxonomy places the organism in Eukaryota, Metazoa, Arthropoda, Insecta, Diptera, Drosophilidae. The record is from RefSeq and is a predicted model, not a curated record.
AAUUAAGAACGCGAUAAUGUUUAAAACUUUUAUUUUCCUAUUGCACGAAAUAAGUUGCGAGUCAAUGUAUGUGUGGACCGGGUGCACUUAUGUAUGUGAAUAAAAAAAAAAAUAACAGCACUGCGGACAACGAAGGAAAGACAGAGUAUACAAAACACAAAGACAGAAUAACAAAAUUUUGUUCAAAUUCGGGAAGCGAACGGAUUUUGUGUAAAUAUAGAGUUUUUAACGAAUUUAUUGCCCAGAAUUCGAUUUUUUUUUGGCAUAAAGUCUAAGCAAGAGAGAUAUAAAUUAUAGAAAAGAAAUAACUAUUUGAGAAGAUUGGUGGUGUUGGAAGAGGUUGGAGAUGGAUAAAUACUUGAAAAACCCUUUAACAACUGUGGAUAACACGACUCCAAAAUUGGGUCCCUUAAAACGUGGAGGCCCCGAAUAUCUGGAGGCUGAAAAGUCCCUUCCACUAGUUUUGAAGUGUUUUGGAAUUGAAGUUGCAGGAGGAUUUCAGUUACGUUGACAAUGUAUCCAUUUCUACUGAUUGUUGGACCUCGCGUGCUAAUGAGGCGUAUCUCACUAUAACGUAACACUUCAUUAACGAAUGCUAUGAACUUAAAUCAGCAGUUUUGUCGACGCAAAAACUUGUAGAUGCAACUAACCACUGCGCUAGUAAUAUUGCGAACUCACUCAGCGCCGUUUUGAUUGAGUGGAACCUUUUAAAUAAGGUAGUAUCGAUUGUAACAGACAACGACGCGUCUAUGAAAGAAGCGUGCGAAUUAAUGAUGAUAAUAAAUGAAACAUUUACCUUGUGUCUCGCAUACUAUUAAUGUGUUAGUGCAAGAUCUCCUGAAAAUAGAUUCUAUAGUGCCCUUACUAGCAAGGUGUAAGAGAAUCGUAUCGUUUUUCAAAUCGAGUUCAAUCGCAACAAAGAAACUUAAAAAUGCAAAAACUUCUGAUUCACGCUAUGGACUUGUACAAGAAGUUCCAACGCGUUGGAAUAGCGCCUACUAUAUGAUUCAACGGAUUAUUUUAGUAAAUUACUCGCUUUCUGCAGUGCUUCUAAACUCAACCAAAGCUCCAAGUCCAAUAUCAGCGGACGAAAUGAUCGUUCUGGAUGAGAUAUGUCAAGUUCUAGCUCCGUUUCACAGACUGCGCUUGAACGAUUGCCAGAGCGUUUUUCGCAUUACGAAACUCGGACUGUUACUAGAAUUGCUACAUUACUGGAUCCCAGAUUUAAAAAGGACUGUUUUUUGUUUUCAUCGAACUCAGAGCAAGCCGCGAAAGAUUUGCAGUUAGAGUUAUUUUCAAGUUUGUCCCGAGUUCCUUUCACACGUGAUAUUUCAACACCACCAGACACUCCACAAGAAAAAAAAAACAGUUUCUUUACUUAAUUAGGAACGAAACUUUCAAAUAAAUUUCAUUCGGAACUCAAUAAUGCUAUUGAGGACGUAUUUUGCGAGACCUAAUGAGCCGGAGGAUAAGGAUCCCCUUGCUUAUUGGAUGGAAAACAGUGACAGUCUGAAGCCAAUAACUAAACUUUGUAGAAAUUACCUGUGCAUUCCGGCCAGUUCAACAGAAUCUGAUAGAACCUUCAGUAAAGCUGGUCAGAUUGUAUCUGACCGCAGAGCAUCGCUUAAACAAAAGUAGUUUGCUACUUUUUGUGAACAAAAACCAGAAACAAUGAUCUCUUGUUGUCUUAUUAUGAAUAU